This 617-nucleotide long non-coding RNA is filed under the name Homo sapiens (human). Its description in RNAcentral is "HSALNT0056460". Lineage: Eukaryota; Metazoa; Chordata; Mammalia; Primates; Hominidae. The record is from RNAcentral.
AUCAGGGAAGGAAAAGCUUCUUCAGAAUCUCCAGAAGAUUUUCACUUGUAUCUCACCGGCCAGAACUGUGUCACAUAUCAACACAUACCUGUGAAUGGAGCUGGAAAAGCACGUAUUACUUGGACACAUUAUUGUCAGAACACAGGAAGGAUUAUGAUGCCAUAGAAAAGGGGUGAGUGGUUAUUUAGUAGGAACUUCAGGGGCUGGACAGGAGAUUUGAAGCAGGAAACUCUUCUGAGGACAUGGGAUAGCAAAGGCUGCAGAUCUCAACACAACUUUAGAGAAUGCCUUGGAGUUAUGGAGACAGAAGUCAGAAUACAGCAGGUUGAGAAGUAACUCGUCAAGGUAGGGAACUGAGACUGCUCUUUCUGAUCUGGGCUUCGUGGGAAAAGAAAGGUGGAUAGAGAAUAAUGAACUAUUGAAGGAUUACUUUUUUGUUUGUUUCUUUUGAAAAUGUGAGCAACUUGAUCGUAUUUACAGACUUAGGGGAGCUUAGAGAAAUGAGCUAAAGAUAUAACAGAUAAGAUGCAAUUAAAAGAGAGGAGAGCUGAACCCAUCCUCAGACAGGAUGAUGCGAUAGAAAGUGAGAAAAACCAGACAAAAGAAAGUAGUUCACG